UCUCGGUGAUGAACAAAUUUAUGAUGACGAGUCCGAUUGAAUCCAUUCUUUUAAAAUCGUGACGACAAAGAGGCAUUUGUCUGAGAGAA
Small nucleolar RNA from Rhodamnia argentea, 89 nucleotides. The record is from RefSeq and is a predicted model, not a curated record. Lineage: Eukaryota; Viridiplantae; Streptophyta; Magnoliopsida; Myrtales; Myrtaceae.